UUACGGGGUCCCACGGUGUCUAUGGGGUCCUGUGGGGUUUUAUGGGAUCCUAUGGGGUUGUAUGGGGUCCACUGGGGUCCUAUGGGGUCUGUGGGUUAAUAUGGGGUCUUAUGGGGCCCUGGGGUGUCCUAUGGUGUCUGUGGGGUAAUAUGGGGUCCAUUGGGGUCCUAUGCUGUCUUAUGGGAUCCUAUGGGGUUUUAUGGGAUCUUAUGGGGUCUGUGGGGUAAUAUUGUGCCCUAUGGGGUCUUAUGGGGUCGUAUGGGAUCCUAUGGGGUCGUAUGGGAUCCUAUGGGGUCGUAUGGGGUUUUAUGGUGUCUAUGGGGUCCUGUGGGGUCCCAUGGUCUCUAUGGGGUCCUAUGGGGUCCCACGGUCUCUAUGGGGUCCUAUGGGGUCCUGGGGUGUCUUACGGGAUCCUAUGGGGUCGUAUGGGGUUUUAUGGUCUCUAUGGGGUCCCAUGGGGUCCCACGGUCUCUAUGGGGUCCUAUGGGGUCUUAUGGGAUCCUAUGGGGUAAUAUGGGGUCCUAUAGGUUCCUAUGGGGUUUUAUGGGGUCUAUGGGGUCCCACGGUCUCUAUGGUGUCCUAUGGGGUCCUGUGGGGUUUUAUGGGAUCCUAUGGGGUCCUGGGGUGUCCUGUGGUGUCUUAUGGGAUCCUAUGGGGUCGUAUGGGAUCCUAUGGGGUCGUAUGGGGUUUUAUGGUGUCUAUGGGGUCUUAUGGUGUCCUGUGGUGUCUUACGGGAUCCUAUGGGUUCCUAUGGGAUGCUAUGGGGUAAUAUGGGAUCCUAUGGGGUAAUAUGGGGUUUUAUGGUGUCUAUGGGGUCUUAUGGGAUCCUAUGGGGUAAUAUGGGGUCCUAUAGGUUCCUAUGGGGUCUAUGGGGUCCCAUCCUCACCUCAGCCCACGGAGGAGGAAACGGAGCAGCAGCAGCAGGAAGGAUGGGGAGCUGCAGGGAAACGGACAAUUAGCGAGGAGAAGCCAUUAGCAGAGCCAAGGAGGGGUAAUUAAGGGCCGGGGGGGAUUAUUAGGGGGCAGGAGGAA
RNAcentral lists this long non-coding RNA (1032 nucleotides) under Phasianus colchicus (ring-necked pheasant). Its description in RNAcentral is "lncRNA (ENSPCLG00000017315.1)". Lineage: Eukaryota; Metazoa; Chordata; Aves; Galliformes; Phasianidae. The record is from RNAcentral.